This 702-nucleotide ribosomal RNA is filed under the name uncultured bacterium. RNAcentral's name for it is "bacterial SSU rRNA". It matches the Rfam family "Bacterial small subunit ribosomal RNA", at positions 135 to 854 of the family's 1533-position model. The record is from RNAcentral.
ACAGGGGGAUAACACUUAGAAAUAGGUGCUAAUACCGCAUAAGCGCACGGCUCCGCAUGGAACAGUGUGAAAAACUCCGGUGGUAUACGAUGGAUCCGCGUCUGAUUAGCCAGUUGGCGGGGUAACGGCCCACCAAAGCGACGAUCAGUAGCCGGCCUGAGAGGGUGAACGGCCACAUUGGGACUGAGACACGGCCCAAACUCCUACGGGAGGCAGCAGUGGGGAAUAUUGCACAAUGGGGGAAACCCUGAUGCAGCGACGCCGCGUGAGUGAAGAAGUAUCUCGGUACGUAAAGCUCUAUCAGCAGGGAAGAAAAUGACGGUACCUGAUUAAGAAGCCCCGGCUAACUACGUGCCAGCAGCCGCGGUAAUACGUAGGGGGCAAGCGUUAUCCGGAUUUACUGGGUGUAAAGGGAGCGUAGACGGCAGCGCAAGUCUGGAGUGAAAUGCCGGGGCCCAACCCCGGAACUGCUUUGGGAACUGUGCAGCUCGAGUGCAGGAGAGGUAAGCGGAAUUCCUAGUGUAGCGGUGAAAUGCGUAGAUAUUAGGAGGAACACCAGUGGCGAAGGCGGCUUACUGGACUGUAACUGACGUUGAGGCUCGAAAGCGUGGGGAGCAAACAGGAUUAGAUACCCUGGUAGUCCACGCCGUAAACGAUGAUUACUAGGUGUCGGGGGGCCAAGGCCCUCCGGUGCCGGCGCAA